AGGUAUAACUAAUUGAGUUAAAAGCUUCUAACUUUAAACUAAGCGGCGAAAUUCCGUUUUUUACCUA
Molecule: transfer RNA, 67 nt
Filed under: Scolytinae sp. BMNH 1043001
Lineage: Eukaryota; Metazoa; Arthropoda; Insecta; Coleoptera; Curculionidae
Description: tRNA-Ser
Source: RNAcentral